Molecule: long non-coding RNA, 914 nt
Organism: Rhincodon typus (whale shark)
Lineage: Eukaryota; Metazoa; Chordata; Chondrichthyes; Orectolobiformes; Rhincodontidae
Exons: 3
Source: RefSeq, a predicted model, not a curated record
GUUAUCUCAGAUUCUCCAGCAUCUGCAGUUCCUACUAUCUCUGUCCACAGGAUCCGGUGGCUUUUAACAUGGGACCACCAGCAAAGAUAGAAGGACAACUCCUUCAUCAACGCACGGGCAACGCACAACUCCUUCCUUUUCGGAGUUCCAAUGGCUUCUGAUCAAACAUUUACACCUACAAGCUGUUCAGCUACCUGGGAGUCGAUCACAGUUGCUAGCAGGGCAAGCUUUGACUAGUCAGGGACCAGAAGGAGACGGACCACGUGUUGGCAGAUGGGAUCAUGGUUGGCACAGACAUGGUAGGCCAAAGGACCUGUUCCUACGCUGUACUGUUCUGUGUUCACUGUGUUAAAGCUUCUCUCCAUGCAAGCAUGAGAUAAACAAUAGUUAUCUGUUGGCCUGAGGUCCUCUAACAAAUUGUCAAGCACAUCUACAACGGUUGGAAUCAAGAACAAUAGAUACUUUUCAUAAUGUGGUUCAAAAUCAAAGCUUCUAUGUGAAAUUAAACCACAAGUGGACAACUGGAAGAUCAAGAUACUUGUAGUAAAUGUCUUGCUUACCUAUCUUUGCUUGCAAAACUGAAAAUUAACCAUAUCCAUUGAACUGUCAAACAACCAGAUCCAAAAGCAAGAAAGCUGCAUGUUAACCUAAGGCAGCAGUUUAUUGUUGCCAAUCCAAGGAGUACCUCUCUGAUCUAAAGAGAGGUUGACUGACAUCGUUGACUGAAAUGCUUGCCAAAAAUAUAUUGACCAGCAUGAAUAAAAUGUGAGUAGGUUUCAAACUCUCAAAGAGUUUCGAGGAAAAUGCAUAAGAUAUUUGUAUCUGAAUUAAGUGGUUUGGCUUCUACCUGGGACACCUGGUCUAAUUUACAAUCUAUACUGUGGGCUAUUAUUUCAAAACUAAUGUACCAUUCC